UUAGACCUUAAUGAAUAUUAUUUUCCGAUAGAAAAUAAAGAUGUAAUUUAUUUGAAUUAUGGCUUUUGAGUUUUUAAGAAAAGUAUAUGAAUAAAGUUAUACAUGACUCGUUAACUUGUAUCUUAUUCACAAAUAAUUAUUUCAGUUGUGUACUUGAUGCAGCCCUUAUAAGUGCUUGCAUUAAUAAUAGGCUCGAUUCUAAUCGAGCCUUGAACCAAGCCCAAUAAAAUGGCUUGGACUCUCAUGGUAGACUUUCCACUCUUAAACCAUGAGAGUAUAAAUAUGAGUGGACCCUAAAGGUGGAGGGCAGUUGAGUUUUAUUUUAUCCAAGGUAAUUCUCAACGAGAAUUCUUUCCUUCCUUCUUUAUUUCCUUCUUUUAUUUCUUUCUAUUUUUUCUACCGAAUUUCUUUAUUCUUACCUAUUUUCAAUACACGAUUAUCCUUGGAUUAGGAUAAUCUAAUUUGAAUCAAUCGAUUUGAAGGGAACAUAAACCCUAAUCAAUUGUUUACUGUUCCAUUGCUUUGGAAACGCAAAGUCUGGACAGAAAUCGUCCAUUUGGUGCAACUGAUUUAAGGAAGUGUUCAAGGCCUUCAUCAAGUGGUAUCAGACUGGGAGGGAAUCGCGAUCUACAGUUGUCCGAAGACAUCAAUCAAAAAAAAAAAACUUUGCGAUUUGCUAUUUGGACAUCAAUCGCGAUCUACGUCUGGACGGAUUUGCGAUUUCAUUGUGCGAUCUACGCCUUCAUCAACAGAACAGUGCGAUUUCACAGAACAUUGCGAUUUGCGAUUUCACAAAACAUUGCGAUUUGCGAUUUCUGUAAUCUGCAUUUUUGUGCACGGACCUGGACGGAUUCUACAUUCUCGCGCACGGACCUGGACGGAUUUGACAACACUUGUAAUCGCGAUUUGCAGUCAGAGGGAUUCACCUUUGCGAUUUUAUUUUUGGACGGAUUUCAGCACACGUGAAGUAGUCCAGCACACGUGGAAAAAAAAGAGAGAGAAAAAGAGAGGAAAAAAAAAACUUUGCAAUUUAUUCCAGCGAAUUUUCCUGGACGGAAUUGUGAGCACACGUGAAGAAUUCCAGCAUUUAUUUCUUUACGAUUUAUUCCAGCAUUUUUAAGAUGGCCGAGAACGUCACACGUGAAGAGUUUGAGAGGUUGGCAAAAGCACUAACCGAUUUGACAACCUUUGUUAGGGACGGUUUCCAAACAAUGCAACAGAAUUUGCAACCUAUUCAGCCGCAUGGAGGAGCAGAUCCGGCAGUGAAUGGAGAGGCAGAACCGGCAUUAAACUAAAGAAGAAGAAACCCACCCACAGCUAGGGAGCGAUUGGAAGAACAGAUCCGGCAGGGGGGAAAUUUCAGGCAGCGUGACAAUUUCAGACAGGGAGGACUUUUUAAUAGACAGACUGAGGAAGAAUUUUUAGAAGAGGAAGAAGAUUUAUUACAGUACGAGAAGAAGAAAUAGAGGCCGUCGAGACUAUCCAAGAGGGGGAGCAUCACAAAGGUAUGAAGAGUACAAUGGAGGAAAUCAAAGAAAUGAAUUUGGAAAUUAUAGAUUAAGAAUGGAACUACCUGAAUUCAAUGGGCAGUUACAUAUAGAGGAAUUUUUAGAUUGGAUUUCGGAAGUAGAAAGAUUUUUUGACUGCAUGGAAAUUCCAUAUUCAAAAAAAGUGAAAUUAGUAGCACUAAAAUUUAAAAGUGGAGCUGCUGCGUGGUGGGAUCAGACCACCAUGAAUAGGGCUAGGUUUCAAAAAAGACCUAUAAGAACUUGGGACAAGUUGAAGAGAAUGCUGAAACAAAGAUUUCUCCCGGUGGAAUUUCAAACCAUUUUAUUUACAAAAUAUCAGAAAUGCAGACAAGAACAGAGGUCAGUAGCUGAUUAUACAGAGGAGUUCCAUAGGUUGGGAGCAAGAAACAACCUUAAUGAAUCUGAAGAACAACAGAUGGCGAGAUACAUUGGGGGAUUAAAAUCAACACUUCAAGAAAAAGUCAUUUUACAGUCCCCAAUGUCACUUAUGAAGACUGUAAGCAUCUCCGAACAACUAGAGAGACAAACAAACAAGUACUCAUCAUUUUCACCUGGAGCUUCAACAAGUAAACCUAUUUAUUCCAAGGACAAAGGAAUUCUUCCAACACAUGAAGGGAAAAAUACAGAUCUGAAUGAAAAAAAAUCAGGGGCCACAGACCAAGUAUGGAGCACAAUAAGAUGCUAUAAAUGCCAAGAAAUGGGCCACAAAGCUAAUAACUGCCCUAGGAGGGGGGAUCUGUAAAAUUCUGUGAAGGGUUGAGAAACAGUGAAGAUGGCAUUAAUUCAGAUGAGUCCAGUGAGGCUGCAGAAGAGUAUGACCCCGACGAAGGAUCGAGUCUAUCUUGCUUGAUCCAUAGAUCCUUUCACACUCCUAAAAUUUCUGACCAGAUUUAAAGGACAAAUUUAUUUCGCACCAAAGGAACAGUUAAAGGGAAAGUUUGUCAGAUAAUAAUAGACAAUGGAAGUACGAACAACCUAAUAUCUGAGAAGGCAGCAAAAAAGUUAGGACUCAACCUUGAGGAACAUUCUAAACCUUAUACAAUAGGAUGGAUCAAAAAUAGUGAGGGAGCAAAAAUUAGAUAUUUGUGCAAAGUCCCACUAUCCAUUGGCAAGAGAUACAACGAUACAGUAGUAUGUGAUGUAGUUGAUAUGGAUACAACACACAUACUUUUGGGCAGACCGUGGCAAUAUGAUGUAAAUGCCACUCACCAUGGGAAAUUAAACACCUAUGUUUUUCAAGCUGAUGGUAGGAAGAUUGCCCUACUAGUCUACUACCACUUCCUCCUGAGUCGACUUGCAAAAAGGCUAUAAACACAAAUUUCCUACUACAACAGAGGUCUGAUUUUUCUGAAGAACUGAGAAAUGAAGAUAUGAGGUUAGCUCUAGUAAUAAAAAGUCUGGAAAAAAAAGAGGCGGAGCAAAAAAAAUUACCAAAGGAAGUACAACAAAUUUUGAAGGAGUUUCCACUUAUCUCCUUAAAUAAUUUAGUAGUAUUACUACCACCUGAGAGAGAAAUUGACUACAGAAUAGACUUGAUUUCGGGAGCAUCUCUACCUAACCUGCCCCACUACAGAUUAGGACCUAAAGAGGCUGAAAUUCUUCAGAAGCAAGUAGAACAACUACUAGUAGAGGUCAUACCAGGCAAGGCUUGUAUGAAUGGAUGGUGAUGCCAUUUGGAUUAUCCAAUGCACCAUCAACAUUCAUGAGAUUGAUGACUGAGGUAUUGAAACCAUUGUUAGGAAACUGCGUCGUGGUGUAUUUCGAUGACAUCUUAGUAUUUAGUAAAAUUAAAGAAGCCCACAUUAAAGAUGUAAAAUCAGUUUUCGGAUUAUUAGAGAAAAAUCAGCUAAAAUUAAAUCUGAAAAAGUGCGAUUUUUUUACGUAGGAACUAUGCUUUCUAGGAUUUAUCAUUGGGAUACACGGAAUGAAAAUGGAUCCAAGAAAAACUGAAGCACUACAAAAUUGGCCAGUACCUUCUUCAGUCACUGAGGUACGUAAUUUUAUGGGCCUAGCUUCCUUUUAUAGGAGAUUUAUAAAAAAAUUCAGUUCAAUAGCUAGUCCCAUAACAAACUGUUUAAAGAACGGGAAAUUCAGAUGGACUGAUGAGGCUUCAGUCAGUUUUCAGAAAUUAAAAAAUAAACUCCAAACAGCACCAGUAUUGACUCUUCCGGAUUUUUCUAAAUUUUUUGAAGUAGAAUGUGAUACUAGCAUUUCUGGAGUAGGCGCAGUACUAAGUCAGAGUGGUCAUCCAGUAGCAUUUCACAGUGAGAAACUCACUGCAAGCAGAAAAAAUUGGACCACAUACGAGCAAGAAUUAUAUGUUGUUGUCAGAGCAUGCAAGGUGUGGGAGCCUUAUUUAAUUCAGAGAGAGUUUGUAGUCCUCAUUGACCAUAUAGCUUUGAAACAGAUAAAUGGGACUUCUGAUACUAACAGAAUGCACAGCAGAUGGUUUUCCUUUUUAUAGAGAUUCGAAUUUACAAUAAAGCAUAGAUUUGGUGCAAGUAACAAGGUAGCCGAUGCAUUGAGCAGAAAAAAUUCUUUAUUAACAGUCCUAAGAUUAGAGGUGGUAGCGUUUGAUUGUCUAAAAGAAUUAUAUCCUACUGAUGAAGAUUUCUCAAGAAUUUGGGAGGAAUGCCUUUAGAAAAAACACAAUAAGGGCUUCAGAAUUAAUGAAGGAUUCCUUUUCAGGGAAAACAGAUUAUGCAUUCCUCAGACAUCCUUGAGACUACAAUUAAUAAGGGAUUUACACUCGGGAGGAUUAGCUGACCAUUUUGGAAGAAAUAAAACAGUAGCCCAAGUAGAAAGCAGAUAUUAUUGGCCGGGAGUAAGAAAAGAAGUAGAAAAAUUUGUGCAAAGAUGUCCUAGGUGUCAAGAAGUAAAAGGCACUAGUCUGAAUAGUGGUCUUUACACCCCUUUACCAGUAGCUAAAGAACCAUGGACUGACCUCUCUAUGGAUUUUGUCCUUGGGCUACCUAAAACUAGUAAAGGGUUGGAUUUUAUUUUUGUAGUAGUCGAUAGAUUCUCGAAGAUGGUGCACUUUAUUGCUUGUAAAAAAACAAAUGAUGCUUCUCACAUUGCAAAAUUAUUCUUCAAUGAGGUUAUAAGACUUCAUAGCAUUCCAAGUAGCAUCGUAUCAGAUAGGGACACAAUUUCUAUCUCACUUUUGGAGAAUUUUAUGGAAGAGAUUUUACACAAAUCUGAAAUUCAGUUCUACAUGUCACCCACAAUCUGAUGGGCAAACAGAAGUAGUCAACAGGUCACUUGGAAAUCUAUUAAGAGCACUAGCAGGGAAACAACCAAAACAGUGGGAUCAACAUUUAGCUCAAGCGAAAUUUGCCUUUAAUUGCAUGCCAAAUAAAUCAACGGGAUGUGCACCUUUUGUAGCUGCCUAUGGCCACCUUCCAAAGAAUAUAAUGGAUGUUACCUCCACACCUUCAGUGAAUAAGAAGGUAGAAGAUAUUAUAGAAUCCAGCAAAUUAAUACACAAGCAAUUAGAAGAAUCAAUAACCAGAGCCAAUGAUCUCUACAAGGAAAGAGCUGAUAGGUCUAGAAGAUUUCAGACUUUCAAUGAAGGUGAUUUGGUAAUGGUUCACUUAAAAAAAGACAGAUAUCCAGCAGGAUCUUAUUCUAAACUGAAGGACAGAAAUUUUGGACCUUGCAAGCUACUAAAGAAGAUUUGUGACAAUGCUUUUGUAGUAGAUCUACCUCCAGAAUUCAACAUGUCAUCAACCUUCAAUGUGGCAGAUUUAAGAAGAUAUUAUCCACCUGCAGAGGAAGACAACCAAUUGAGGACAAUUGUAAUCCAAGAGGGGUCGCCUGAUGCAGCCCUUAUAAGUGCUUGCAUUAAUAAUAGGCUCGAUUCUAAUCGAGCCUUGGACCAAGCCCAAUAAAAUGGCUUGGACUCUCAUGGUAGACUUUCUACUCUUAAACUAUGAGAGUAUAAAUAUGAGUGGACCCUAAAGGUGGAGGGCAGUUGAGUUUUAUUUUAUCCAAGGUAAUUCUCAACGAGAAUUCUUUCCUUUUUUAUUUCCUUCUUUUAUUUCUUUCUAUUUUUUCUACCGAAUUUCUUUAUUCUUACCUAUUUUCAAUACACGAUUAUCCUUGGAUUAGGAUAAUCUAAUUUGAAUCAAUCGAUUUGAAGGGAACAUAAACCCUAAUCAAUUGUUUACUGUUCCGUUGCUUUGGAAACGCAAAGUCUGGACAGAAAUCGUCCAUUUGGUGCAGUUGUUUACUGUUCCGUUGAAUCAACUGAUUUAAGGAAGUGUUCAAGGCCUUCAUCAGUACUUGUGUGAAAUUGUUAAUGCAUUCUUCAACAAAUAAUAAAAUAAAAUAUAUUAAAUUUAAAUUUGGGUUUGCUUAAUUGUUGAAUAAAACUAAUUAAUAAAUUAAAUAAUUUUUGUUUCUUUUAGAAAUAUUUUUAUUUAAAGGGUAAAUUUUUCAUUUUUCAUAAAUGAAACGGUAUGCUGACUAGAAGUAAAAACUAUUAUCACAAUAAGAUACAUCUAUAUCAAUGAACAAACAGAAAGACUCAUUGCUUCUCUACCGUCCUUCAUUUUUAAUGAGAAAAUUUAAUUUCAUCAAAAAAAGAAGACUUGUACUCUAGUAGAUAGUUACUGUAUUGUAGAAUCCUGCUAAAAAACCAAAGAAAGUAUUUCUAUAUAGUCCAUACUCCAUAGAGUUGUAGACUAUUUAAAUAUGCCAAGGUUGCAAAAAACUCUGGCAUCAGUAUGAAUUUUUCUUAAAAAAAUGCUAGAUCAUCUCUCCAAGUGUAAAAUCUAGAACUUUCUUCUUUGGGAAGUUCACUUCAAUAUCCUGAAAUACUGAUACUGUCUGAUGGUACUGCCUGGGAAUCUAGUCACCAUCCUAGUAUUUCAACAAGUACCAACAAUGUAACACAGUCUGUCCAGGCUGCAGAUUUGUUGGGGAUAUGGACAGGCAAAGGAUAAAUAAUUAAUAUCUUCACUCUCUCAGCUUCUCUGGUCUUAUAUAUUGGAGCCUUGUGAGUUGGGUAUUAUAUACUAGUUAAAGCUUCCUCCACCUUGCUUAAAAAAAAAAGAAGCUUCCUCCACCUAAUCCUCCAGAGUCCAAUCAGCUUUCUCCCUCACUCUCUCCAAGCUGAAGAGAGGUUUUUGAGUCCAAUCUUUUUGAAGACUGAUCAUGCUAUUGCUGAAUUCAGCUUGAUUGCUCUUUUCAUAUGAUCUUUUCUUUUAGAAAUAUUUCAAGAGAAGUGAUAGCUAGUUGAUUCACUUGAAGCCUUCUUGAUAAAUGAUAAUACACAGUAAUUUUUUUUAGUUUGUAAAACAAUC
Molecule: long non-coding RNA, 6835 nt
Filed under: Zostera marina
Lineage: Eukaryota; Viridiplantae; Streptophyta; Magnoliopsida; Alismatales; Zosteraceae
Description: long non-coding RNA (ZMAR_LNC000647)
Source: RNAcentral